AUGGUUCUUAUACUACAAUGGAAUGCAAGAAGUUUAGUGGCAAACGGGCAGGAAUUUAAACAUUUUAUCAAUUCAUUACCAAUGGCACCUGAUGUAUUAUGUAUACAAGAAACAUGGUUGACACUAAAUUUAGAUUUUAGAAUAAAUAAUUAUAUUAGUGUAAGAGGUGAUAGGGAAAAUGGUAUAGGAGGUGGAUGUGCUACAUUUAUCAAAAGGAAUAUUCCUUAUCAAGUUAUCGCAAAAGGAAGGGAAGAAGAGUAUAUCAUAAUAAAAAUAUGGACUAAUCAAGGACAGCUUUCUGUUAUAAAUUAUUAUAAUCCAUGUAGAAAACUAGUUUUUGAUAAAUUAUGUCAGAUUGUGGAAAAAGUGGAUAAUCAGAUUUUUUUAUGUGGUGAUUUUAAUGCUCAUAGUUCAUUAUGGGGAGGAGAAAAAACUGAUUUAAAUGGACAAAUAAUAGAACAGUUAUUGGAAGAAAAUGAGAUGGUGUGCCUUAAUGAUGGGAGGAAAACAAGAAUAGAUGUUCACACAGGCAAAGGUUCAGCACUUGAUUUAACACUGGUGUCAAAAGAGGUGGCAGGUAUUUGUGAGUGGGAGAUAUGGGAGGAUUCGACUAUAGGUAGUGACCAUUAUCCUGUUUUAUGUAAAAUAUAUGUAGGAAGUGAUGAGCGGGUAGAGGAAAGAGAGGCUAAAUGGAUAUUUAAUAAAGCUAAGUGGGAAAAAUUUGAGUAUUUAUGCGAGGUGGAAAGUAGUGAAAUAGAUUUAAACCAAGAUAUAGAUAAAAUUGAUGUUAAGUUUAGGGAAGUAGUUUUGAGAGCUGCUAAGUUAUCUAUUCCAAGAAGUAAAGGGAAAAUGAAUAGGAAAGCAGUUCCAUGGUGGACAGAAGAAUGUAGUAAAAUCAUUAAAGAAAGAAACAGGGCAUUUAAGAGAUUGAAGAGAACGCACAACUUUCAAAGAUUAAUGGAGUAUAAAAAGGCUCAAGCACAAGUUAGGAAAAUAGUUAAAAAGGCAAAAAGAAAUAGUUGGAGAGAAUAUUGUAGUAGUAUAGGUAGAACAACUCCAUUGGGGGAUGUGUGGGGAAUGAUGAGGAAAAUGAGGGGAAUUAGAAAAGAUUGGCAGUAUCCAGUUUUAAAAUCAGGAGAAGUCAUAGCUGUAACAAAUGAGGAAAAAGCUGAAAUAAUAGUUAAGGCAUUAGUGGAAAUUUAUAGUUCUAAUAAUUUGUCAGAGGCAAGUAAACGGGGGAGGGAAGAGACUAGAGAUGCAUAUCCAGAAGCACUAAGAAGAAAGGAAAGUACAGAGGAUGCUAUGGAUACUCCAUUUACAUUAAGAGAAAUGAAUCGUGCAAUAGGUAAGUCAAAAGUAACUGCCCCGGGAAAAGACCAGAUAUGCUAUAGUAUGUUAAAGCAUUUAGGAUUUUUAACUCAAAUGAAACUUUUAGGAUUAUAUAAUAAGGUCUGGGUAGAAGGCAGAUUACCUAUAAAUUGGAAAGAGGCGAUUAUUAUACCUAUAACAAAACCAGGUAAGGACCCUACAAAUCCAGCAAACUAUAGGCCUAUUGCUCUCACAUCGCAUGUUGGGAAAAUAAUGGAAAGGAUGAUUGUAGAAAGAAUGACUUUUUAUGUAGAAAAUAAGGGACUUUUAUCUCUUUAUCAGAGUGGUUUUCAGAAAGGACGGGGAUGGGGAUCCUGUGGUUUGUAUGGAAACUGA
RNAcentral lists this long non-coding RNA (1704 nucleotides) under Carassius auratus (goldfish). RNAcentral describes it as "lncRNA (ENSCARG00000022076.1)". Lineage: Eukaryota; Metazoa; Chordata; Actinopteri; Cypriniformes; Cyprinidae. The record is from RNAcentral.